Molecule: ribosomal RNA, 17 nt
Filed under: Rhizoplaca haydenii
Lineage: Eukaryota; Fungi; Ascomycota; Lecanoromycetes; Lecanorales; Lecanoraceae
Description: partial 28S ribosomal RNA
Source: RNAcentral
UUUACCUCGGAUCAUGU